RNAcentral lists this ribosomal RNA (440 nucleotides) under uncultured bacterium. RNAcentral describes it as "partial 16S ribosomal RNA". It matches the Rfam family "Bacterial small subunit ribosomal RNA", at positions 338 to 795 of the family's 1533-position model. The record is from RNAcentral.
CCUACGGGAGGCAGCAGUGGGGGAUAUUGCACAAUGGGGGAAACCCUGAUGCAGCGACGCCGCGUGGGUGAAGAAGCGCCUCGGCGCGUAAAGCCCUGUCAGCAGGGAAGAAAAUGACGGUACCUGAAGAAGAAGCCCCGGCUAACUACGUGCCAGCAGCCGCGGUAAUACGUAGGGGGCAAGCGUUAUCCGGAUUUACUGGGUGUAAAGGGGGCGCAGACGGGGAUGCAAGCCAGGAGUGAAAGCCCGGGGCCCAACCCCGGGACAGCUCUUGGAACUGCGUGGCUAGAGUGCAGGAGGGGCAGGCGGAAUUCCUGGUGUAGCGGUGAAAUGCGUAGAUAGCAGGAGGAACACCGGUGGCGAAGGCGGCCUGCUGGACUGCAACUGACGUUGAGGCCCGAAAGCGUGGGGAGCAAACAGGAUUAGAUACCCUUGUAGUC